This 551-nucleotide ribosomal RNA is filed under the name uncultured bacterium. RNAcentral describes it as "bacterial SSU rRNA". It matches the Rfam family "Bacterial small subunit ribosomal RNA", at positions 355 to 896 of the family's 1533-position model. The record is from RNAcentral.
UAGGGAAUCUUCGGCAAUGGACGGAAGUCUGACCGAGCAACGCCGCGUGAGUGAAGAAGGUUUUCGGAUCGUAAAGCUCUGUUGUAAGAGAAGAACGAGUGUGAGAGUGGAAAGUUCACACUGUGACGGUAUCUUACCAGAAAGGGACGGCUAACUACGUGCCAGCAACCGCCNAAUACCUAAGUCCCGAACGUUGGNCGGAUAUNUUGNGGGUAAGCGAGCGCAGGCGGUAGAAAAAUAAGUCUGAAGUUAAAGGCUGUGGCUUAACCAUAGUACGCUUUGGAAACUGUUUAACUUGAGUGCAAGAGGGGAGAGUGGAAUUCCAUGUGUAGCGGUGAAAUGCGUAGAUAUAUGGAGGAACACCGGUGGCGAAAGCGGCUCUCUGGCUUGUAACUGACGCUGAGGCUCGAAAGCGUGGGGAGCAAACAGGAUUAGAUACCCUGGUAGUCCACGCCGUAAACGAUGAGUGCUAGGUGUUAGACCCUUUCCGGGGUUUAGUGCCGCAGCUAACGCAUUAAGCACUCCGCCUGGGGAGUACGACCGCAAGGUUG